GUCUAUGGCCAUACCACCCUGAAUGCAUUCGAUCUCGUCUGGUCUCAUGAAGCUAAGCAGGGUCAGGCCUGGUUAGUAUUUGGAUGGGAGAAAGAUCUUCAUAGGAGGCUGCUCAGAGACA
RNAcentral lists this ribosomal RNA (121 nucleotides) under Castor canadensis (American beaver). Lineage: Eukaryota; Metazoa; Chordata; Mammalia; Rodentia; Castoridae. The record is from RNAcentral.